This 1064-nucleotide long non-coding RNA is filed under the name Triticum aestivum (bread wheat). RNAcentral's name for it is "long non-coding RNA (TAES_LNC012687)". The record is from RNAcentral. Lineage: Eukaryota; Viridiplantae; Streptophyta; Magnoliopsida; Poales; Poaceae.
GGCGCUCUGCGACCAUGGGCAGAGAGUACAUUGCCCAUCUCGUCUAUUAGCAUGUAAGGCACGCAGUCACCUCUUUCUUAUGAUGUACGCUUUAUGUAGCAUCAGUACUAUAACAACAUACACUCUAUUUAUUAUUAAUGGAAGUCUAUUUUUGUCAUCCGAUCUUCUUUUUGGUAGCUUUUUCAACCUUAAAACUUUCUGGUGUUACGGUCAAAAUGCUAUGUUUAUAUGUCGCGUUUUCGGCCCCCAAGAAAACAUAGUUGUACAUUACACGAUGAUAUGUUUACAUGCAAGAAAAUUGUGCAGACUCAUUACUGUGAAUCUCAUAUGGGCUCCUCCAUGCAGGUCAAGAAAAGUAACCUUGCAUCCUUUGCCCCAAUCAGAAAUGGCCAUGAUCAAGAGGGUCCACGUUAAAAACUGAAAGCACAAGACAUGAUAUGUGCUUUGAUUAUCUUUCUCAUUCACCUUAGCAAAAGCAACGCAUCUUGGCAGAUGUGCAAAAGCAAAAGGAAAAAAAUUGUUUAUCCGCAUAUACAUAGCGGGAGGAAUACUUAUAUGGCCAAGGCUGCAGAGUAGUAGAUGGAGCCUAUGGGUUGGAAAAGAACCGGUUCCAAACCUGCGUAGCUAGAACUAGCUACGAAAGAGGUGAAGGAAAGAGCAAGAGUGUGGUGGAUAGUUGUGUCCAAGACACACUCCAUUGUGGGCUUAUGACCUACGUUUGUAUUUGGGAAAAAUUGAAUUUUCAAGUUUUUUUCUUUCUUUUUACCUGCAAAAAAAGAAUUUCCAAGUUUUUUUUUCUUCAUCUAGCUGGACGUAAGAUGAUUUUCCUUUCGACAUGCAUCUCCGAUGGUCGAGUUAUUAACGACUUAAUGUCGGGCCUGGAUGUCCCUGGUUGCUCCUGUAUGAGCUUCCUAGUUCUUGCGCUGUUAACAGAUAUGUGUACGUGCUGCAGGAAGGCGUACUAUCAUGAUGAACUAGAUCGGGCUCGUGCCUUGACGCGAGGGUGCCGGUCCCAACGUUUUGGUCAACCGGGUAAUUGUAAGUUAGUAGGAAUCCAUGUUUUG